This 440-nucleotide ribosomal RNA is filed under the name uncultured bacterium. Its description in RNAcentral is "partial 16S ribosomal RNA". It matches the Rfam family "Bacterial small subunit ribosomal RNA", at positions 338 to 795 of the family's 1533-position model. The record is from RNAcentral.
CCUACGGGAGGCAGCAGUGGGGGAUAUUGCACAGUGGGGGGAACCCUGAUGCAGCGACGCCGCGUGGGUGAAGAAGCGCCUCGGCGCGUAAAGCCCUGUCAGCAGGGAAGAAAAUGACGGUACCUGAAGAAGAAGCCCCGGCUAACUAAGUGCCAGAGGCCGCGGUAAUACGUAGGGGGCAAGCGUUAUCGGGAUUUACUGGGUGUAAGGGGGGCGCAGACGGCGAUGCAAGCCAGGAGUGAAAGCCCGGGGCCCAACCCCGGGACUGCUCUUGGAACUGCGUGGCUGGAGUGCAGGAGGGGCAGGCGGAAUUCCUGGUGUAGCGGUGAAAUGCGUAGAUAUCAGGAGGAACACCGGUGGCGAAGGCGGCCUGCUGGACUGCAACUGACGUUGAGGCCCGAAAGCGUGGGGAGCAAACAGGAUUAGAUACCCUGGUAGUC